Molecule: ribosomal RNA, 494 nt
Filed under: uncultured bacterium
Lineage: Bacteria
Description: partial 16S ribosomal RNA
Rfam family: Bacterial small subunit ribosomal RNA
Source: RNAcentral
GACGAACGCUGGCGGCGUGCUUAACACAUGCAAGUCGAACGGAAAGGCCUGCUUUCCCUUGUGGAUUGCGGGUACUCGAGUGGCGAACGGGUGAGUACCACGUGAGUGAUCUGCCCCCAACUUGGGUAUAAGCCUGGGAAACUGGGUCUAAUUCCCGAUAGGACUGCAGGGUGGUGCCUGUGGUGGAAAACGAUUUUCUAGUGGUUGGGGAUGAGCUCGCGGCCUAUCAGCUUGUUGGUGGGGUAAUGGCCUACCAAGGCGGCGACGGGUAGCCGGCCUGAGAGGGUGGACGGCCACAUUGGGACUGAGAUACGGCCCAGACUCCUACGGGAGGCAGCAGUGGGGAAUAUUGCACAAUGGGCGGAAGCCUGAUGCAGCGACGCCGCGUGGGGGAUGACGGCCUUCGGGUGGUAAACUCCUUUCGACCGCGAGGAAGCCACCUGGUUGGAAGGGUGGUGACGGUAGUGGUAGAAGAAGCACCGGCUAACUACGUG